RNAcentral lists this ribosomal RNA (490 nucleotides) under uncultured bacterium. RNAcentral's name for it is "partial 16S ribosomal RNA". It matches the Rfam family "Bacterial small subunit ribosomal RNA", at positions 30 to 507 of the family's 1533-position model. The record is from RNAcentral.
AUUGAACGCUGGCGGCAGGCCUAACACAUGCAAGUCGAACGGUAACAGGAAGCAGCUUGCUGAUUUGCUGACGAGUGGCGGACGGGUGAGUAAUGUCUGGGAAACUGCCUGAUGGAGGGGGAUAACUACUGGAAACGGUAGCUAAUACCGCAUAACGUCGCAAGACCAAAGAGGGGGACCUUCGGGCCUCUUGCCAUCGGAGGUGCCCAGAUGGGAUUAGCUAGUAGGUGGGGUAACGGCUCACCUAGGCGACGAUCCCUAGCUGGUCUGAGAGGAUGACCAGCCACACUGGAACUGAGACACGGUCCAGACUCCUACGGGAGGCAGCAGUGGGGAAUAUUGCACAAUGGGCGCAAGCCUGAUGCAGCCAUGCCGCGUGUAUGAAGAAGGCCUUCGGGUUGUAAAGUACUUUCAGCGGGGAGGAAGGGAGUAAAGUUAAUACCUUUGCUCAUUGACGUUACCCGCAGAAGAAGCACCGGCUAACUCCGUG